Molecule: long non-coding RNA, 1363 nt
Filed under: Sus scrofa (pig)
Lineage: Eukaryota; Metazoa; Chordata; Mammalia; Artiodactyla; Suidae
Description: lncRNA (ENSSSCG00060068154.1)
Source: RNAcentral
UUUUUUUUUUUUAAAUGAUUUCCUUUGCUGUGCAAAAGCUUUUGAGUUUGAUUAGUUCCCAUUGCUUUAUUGUCAUUAUUCUAGAAGGUGGAUCAAACAAGAUGUUGCUGUGAUUUAAGUCAAAAAGCAUUCUGCCUAUGUUUUCCUCUAGUUUAAUAGUAUCUGGCCUUAUAUUUAGGUCUUGAAUCCAUUGUGAGUUUAUUUUUGUGUAUGGUGUUAGUGCUCUAUUUUCAUUCUUUUACAUGUAGCUGUCCAGUUUGCCCAGCACCAUUUAUUGAAGAGACUAUUUUUCUUCCACUGUAUGUCCUUGCCGCCUUUGUCAUAGACUAGCUGACCAUAGGUGCUUGAGAAUAGCAUUUUUCCCCUAUAUUCACAAUAAGCAAUUCAAAGUUGAGUUCCCGUCGUGGCGCAGUGGUUAACGAAUCCGACUAGGAACCAUGAGGUUGCGGGUUCGAUCCCUUGCCUUGCUCAGUGGGUUAAGGAUCCGGCGUUGCCGUGAGCUGUGGUGUAGGUUGCAGACGCGGCUCAGAUCCCUCGUUGCUGUGGCUCUGGCGUAGGCCAGUGGCUACGGCUCCGAUUCGACCCCUAGCCUGGGAACCACCAUAUGCCGCAGGAGCGGCCCAAGAAAUAGCUAAAAAGACAAAAAAAAAAAAAAAGUCUUACUAAAGAACAUAAAUCAAGGUCUGAAGAAAUUGUAUAGUCUUGAAUGGGAAGACAAUAUCAUGAAAUAUCAAUUCCCCCAAAUUAACAUUUUAAUGUAAUACCACUAAUUUGAAAUUCAACUAGGUGAGGUUUUGAAAUCAAAAUUGGACUAAGUGAUUUUAAGGUUCAAAUGAAAGAGAAAUGAUGUUAAUUCAUAGAGUAGAAUUGAGUCCAGAAGUAGAGUCUAGUAUGUAACAAGUUAAUACAUGAAAAAGUUAUAUUUCAGUAAGAAAGAAUGUUACUUAGUAAAGGCUGGCACAGCUCUCCAUCUGAAGAAAAUGAAAGUACAACCCAUACAAUCGCACAAAAAGCAAAUUCCAGAUAUAUUAAAUUUUUUUAAUUUUAAUUAAAUAUAAAGUGAAACAAAAAGAAAUCUAAGAGACUGGAAGUAUAGUCAGGAGAGAGGGAAGACCUUAGCCAAUUCAAGUAAUUUAAAAGGUGUUUUACAGAGUUCCUGUUGUGGCUCGGUAGAAACGAACCCAACUAAGAUCCAUGAGGAUGUGAGUUCCAUUCCUGGCCUCGAUUAGUGGGUUAAGGAUCUGGCGUUGCCAUGAGCUGUGGUGUAGGCUGCAGACUUGGCUCAAAUCUGGUGUUGCUGCCUGGCAGCUGCAGCUCCACUUCAACCCCUCGCCGGGAACUUCCAUAUGCUGUGAGUGUGGCC